This 440-nucleotide ribosomal RNA is filed under the name uncultured bacterium. RNAcentral's name for it is "partial 16S ribosomal RNA". It matches the Rfam family "Bacterial small subunit ribosomal RNA", at positions 338 to 795 of the family's 1533-position model. The record is from RNAcentral.
CCUACGGGAGGCAGCAGUGGGGAAUAUUGCACAAUGGGGGAAACCCUGAUGCAGCGACGCCGCGUGAGUGAAGACGUAUUUCGGUAUGUAAAGCUCUAUCAGCAGGGAAGAAAAUGACGGUACCUGAUUAAGAAGCCCCGGCUAACUACGGGCCAGCAGCCGCGGUAAUACGUAGGGGGCAAGCGUUAUCCGGAUUUUCUGGGUGUAAAGGGGGCGGAGACGGCAGCUAAAGGCUGGAGUGAAAUGCCGGGGCUUAACCCCGGAACUGCUUUGGAAACUGUGCAGCUAGAGUGCAGGAGAGGUAAGUGGAAUUCCUAGUGUAGCGGUGAAAUGCGUAGAUAUUAGGAGGAACACCAGUGGCGAAGGCGGCUUACUGGACUGUAACUGACGUUGAGGCUCGAAAGCGUGGGGAGCAAACAGGAUUAGAUACCCCAGUAGUC